GACGAACGCUGGCGGCGUGCUUAACACAUGCAAGUCGAACGGAAAGAGAUGAAAGAGCUUGCUCUUUUAUUAAUUUCAGUGGCAAACGGGUGAGUAACACGUAAACAACCUGCCUUAAGGAUGGGGAUAACAGACGGAAACGACUGCUAAUACCGAAUACGUUCUAAGCAUCGCAUGGUGCAUAGAAGAAAGGGUGGCCUCUACAAGAAAGCUAUCGCCUUAAGAGGGGUUUGCGACUGAUUAGGUAGUUGGUGAGGUAACGGCUCACCAAGCCGACGAUCAGUAGCCGGUCUGAGAGGAUGAACGGCCAUACUGGAACUGAGACACGGUCCAGACUCCUACGGGAGGCAGCAGUGGGGAAUCUUCCGCAAUGGACGAAAGUCUGACGGAGCAACGCCGCGUGAACGAAGAAGGUCUUCGGAUUGUAAAGUUCUGUGAUUCGGGACGAAAGGGCAAAUAGUGAAUAACUAUAGA
RNAcentral lists this ribosomal RNA (474 nucleotides) under Dialister sp. oral taxon 502. Its description in RNAcentral is "bacterial SSU rRNA". It matches the Rfam family "Bacterial small subunit ribosomal RNA", at positions 28 to 472 of the family's 1533-position model. The record is from RNAcentral. Lineage: Bacteria; Bacillati; Bacillota; Negativicutes; Veillonellales; Veillonellaceae.